This 468-nucleotide ribosomal RNA is filed under the name uncultured bacterium. RNAcentral's name for it is "partial 16S ribosomal RNA". It matches the Rfam family "Bacterial small subunit ribosomal RNA", at positions 28 to 507 of the family's 1533-position model. The record is from RNAcentral.
GACGAACGCUGGCGGCGUGCUUAACACAUGCAAGUCGAACGGAAAGGCACUGCUUUUGUGGGGUGCUCGAGUGGCGAACGGGUGAGUAACACGUGAGUAACCUGCCCUUGACUUUGGGAUAACUUCAGGAAACUGGGGCUAAUACCGGAUAGGAGCUCCUGCUGCAUGGUGGGGGUUGGAAAGUUUCGGCGGUUGGGGAUGGACUCGCGGCUUAUCAGCUUGUUGGUGGGGUAGUGGCUUACCAAGGCUUUGACGGGUAGCCGGCCUGAGAGGGUGACCGGCCACAAUGGGACUGAGAUACGGCCCAGACUCCUACGGUAGGCAGCAGUGGGGAAUAUUGCACAAUGGGCGGAAGCCUGAUGCAGCAACGCUGCGGUCGGGAUGACGGCCUUCGGGUUGUAAACCGCUGUCGCCUGUGACGAAGCGUGAGUGACGGUAAUGGGUAAAGAAGCACCGGCUAACUACGUG